RNAcentral lists this long non-coding RNA (351 nucleotides) under Elaeis guineensis (African oil palm). RNAcentral describes it as "long non-coding RNA (EGUI_LNC031556)". Lineage: Eukaryota; Viridiplantae; Streptophyta; Magnoliopsida; Arecales; Arecaceae. The record is from RNAcentral.
AGUCUCCCUGCACCUGUAAACCUCCUCGCAGUCCACCUCGGCGAACCCAUCAGCCCAGCUUCCAAAGACUUGUUGCGCACCUACGUUUCAUAUUGUCCUCUGAAACCCCCUUAUAACCCACACGAAACCCAAUUGAGGCCUAUCUCGCAAUUUUUAGCCCCGUAACGGGAUCGUAAAGUGUCAGCCCCUUGUUUGACAUGGGUUUAUCGAACUGGUCCUCCUCCCAACAACUUAAACUUUUGAGCUAUAAAUACAAAUGGUAUCAGGGCUAGGCCUAGUGUGUGUAACCAUUUGAUAGGAUCUCAUCCAUCAAGCACUGCUUCUUAAUUGAACAUUAACAUGCAUCCCACU